This 337-nucleotide long non-coding RNA is filed under the name Junco hyemalis (dark-eyed junco). Its description in RNAcentral is "lncRNA (ENSJHYG00000010470.1)". The record is from RNAcentral. Lineage: Eukaryota; Metazoa; Chordata; Aves; Passeriformes; Passerellidae.
UAUAUCCUCAUUUUAAAAUGGAAAUUCUUUGACUACUUGCUGCAUUUCUUUGUAGCAAUGAAUUCUCUGCAGCUCUUCCUGUGGGCAGAGAGCAGGAGGAGACGGUCUCCACUCAGCCUUGCUAUGGAUGAGAGCAUUAGAGACUAAAGAACAGAUCUCAAAUCCUGCACAUCACGUAGACCACUCCCUUGAUUGUCAUCACUUACUCUAUUGCAAGCUUUGUAACAUGAUGGAACCAAAGAAAUCUCUCUUCUACCAGACAGUAAGAACCUAGGUUGCUGGGACAACAUGUCAACUGCAAAAAAACCCCUUAAAAUAAAGGUGGCUCAUUUCCAAG